GUUAGGAUGGCCGAGCAGUCUAAGGCGCUGCGUUCAGGUCGCAGUCCAGUUCUGUGGGCGAGGGUUCGAAUCCCUCUUCUGACA
Daphnia pulex (common water flea) is the source of this 84-nucleotide non-coding RNA. The record is from Rfam. Lineage: Eukaryota; Metazoa; Arthropoda; Branchiopoda; Diplostraca; Daphniidae.